RNAcentral lists this ribosomal RNA (267 nucleotides) under Chitinophagaceae bacterium. Its description in RNAcentral is "partial 23S ribosomal RNA". It matches the Rfam family "Bacterial large subunit ribosomal RNA", at positions 1633 to 1884 of the family's 2925-position model. Lineage: Bacteria; Pseudomonadati; Bacteroidota; Chitinophagia; Chitinophagales; Chitinophagaceae. The record is from RNAcentral.
UGUUAUAAACCGUAUCUAAAACCGCCACAGGUGGAUUAGCAUGAGUAGUGUAAGGUUUUCGUAGAAUAUUGUAAAAGGUUUAACUAGGCAAAAUUGCUGGGUAACUUCGGGAUAUACAGUACUGUUUUAUAAAACGAAAAGGUUUAUAAAAUGAGUGGCACUAAAGAUGUGGGAGCGACUGUUUAAUAAAAACACAGGACGUUGUAAAACGUGUAAAUCGGAAAAAUAAUGUCUGAAGCCUGCCACGGGUUUGAUAAGGUGAAGGGG